This 397-nucleotide ribosomal RNA is filed under the name uncultured bacterium. RNAcentral describes it as "partial 16S ribosomal RNA". It matches the Rfam family "Bacterial small subunit ribosomal RNA", at positions 523 to 918 of the family's 1533-position model. The record is from RNAcentral.
AUACGUAGGGGGCGAGCGUUGUCCGGAAUGAUUGGGCGUAAAGGGCGCGUAGGCGGCGCGGUAAGUCUGGAGUGAAAGUCCUGCUUUCAAGGUGGGAAUUGCUUUGGAUACUGCCGCGCUUGAGUGCAGGAGAGGUUAUCGGAAUUCCCGGUGUAGCGGUGAAAUGCGUAGAGAUCGGGAGGAACACCAGUGGCGAAGGCGGGUAACUGGACUGCAACUGACGCUGAGGCGCGAAAGUGUGGGGAGCAAACAGGAUUAGAUACCCUGGUAGUCCACACUGUAAACGAUGAAUGCUAGGUGUAGGGGGUAUCGACCCCUUCUGUGCCGCAGUCAACACAAUAAGCCUUCCGCCUGGGGAGUACGGCCGCAAGGUUGAAACUCAAAUGAAUUGACGGGG